AACUAACGCUGGCGGCAGGUCUUAGACAUGCAAGUCAAACGGCGUAGCAAUACGCAGUGGCGCACGGGUGAGUAACGCGUGGGAAUAUGCCCAUUGGUGGGGAAUAACAGUUGGAAACGACUGCUAAUACCGCAUAAGUCCGCUAAGCAAUUAGUGGAGAAAGGCGCAAGUCGCCGAUGGAUUAGCCCGCGUUGGAUUAGCUAGUUGGUAGGGUAAUGGCCUACCAAGGCAGUGAUCCAUAGCUGGUCUGAGAGGACGAUCAGCCACACUGGAACUGAGACACGGUCCAGACUCCUACGGGAGGCAGCAGUUAAGAAUAUUGGACAAUGGGGGAAACCCUGAUCCAGCCAUGCCGCGUGAGUGAAGAAGGCCUUCGGGUUGUAAAGCUCUUUUAAUCGUGACGAUGAUGACGGUAGCGAUAGAAAAAGCACCGGCUAACUUCGUGCCAGCCGCCGCCGUAA
This 461-nucleotide ribosomal RNA is filed under the name uncultured bacterium. RNAcentral describes it as "partial 16S ribosomal RNA". It matches the Rfam family "Bacterial small subunit ribosomal RNA", at positions 29 to 523 of the family's 1533-position model. The record is from RNAcentral.